Molecule: ribosomal RNA, 440 nt
Filed under: uncultured bacterium
Lineage: Bacteria
Description: partial 16S ribosomal RNA
Rfam family: Bacterial small subunit ribosomal RNA
Source: RNAcentral
CCUACGGGUGGCAGCAGUGGGGAAUAUUGCACAAUGGGGGAAACCCUGAUGCAGCGACGCCGCGUGAGUGAAGAAGUAUUUCGGUAUGUAAAGCUCUAUCAGCAGGGAAGAUAAUGACGGUACCUGACCAAGAAGCCCCGGCUAACUACGUGCCAGCAGCCGCGGUAAUACGUAGGGGGCAAGCGUUAUCCGGAUUUACUGGGUGUAAAGGGUGCGUAGGUGGCAGGGCAAGUCAGAUGUGAAAGCCCGGGGCUCAAACCCGGUACUGCAUUUGAAACCGUCCAGCUAGAGUGCAGGAGAGGUAAGCGGAAUUCGUGGUGUAGCGGUGAAAUGCGUAGAUAUUGGGAAGAACACCGAUGGCGAAGGCAGCAUGCUGGACUGAAACUGACGCUGAGGCACGAAAGCGUGGGGAGCGAACAGGAUUAGAUACCCUUGUAGUC